UGGAGCGCUCUUAUUCUUCUUCAUCGACCUCGCUGGCACUCGCCGUGGCGAUCCUAGCGAUCGUAUGCUGCUCCGUACCAUGCUCUGCAUUCGAAGCUGGGGAGGAGACUAGGGCGGCAACUAUCAAUGCCGCUGGUUACAAGGCUCAUGAGCCGCAAGGAGACCAUGUAGGAUGGAGGCCUCCGCCGCGGCCGAAGAGGCCGUGCCCCUCGAGCUAUCCGGACUACGGCAGCGAAUACACUCUGGUGCCGCCGCCAGCUGCUGCCCUCAAAGAUCGCCAGGAGACUCUGUACGGUUCCGGUGAGGGUGGUGGAGACCGUCAAGGAUCGAAGCCUCCGUCGCCGUGGGGUCGGCGGGGCUAUGGCCACCGGUGAUUGCUGUUUUUUUUUUUUGUUUGCGCAUUUGUGCUACUUCGGCCACAUGGUUCUUUUACGGGUACCGAUGACACACGGUCAACGUCUACGGUGCUCCUUACCAUUCUUGUCUGUGUGCCAAUCUUGAGUCUUAGCAAUUUUUUUCUUACUUACCAGAAUUUGAAUGCCGUCUUAGUUAGAUUCAUGUAAUGGAACUAUGGAUUCUCCAUGAGCCGAUCCAGCAAGCACUCCUGUUCUUGUUGUACGA
Molecule: long non-coding RNA, 621 nt
Organism: Lolium perenne
Lineage: Eukaryota; Viridiplantae; Streptophyta; Magnoliopsida; Poales; Poaceae
Source: RefSeq, a predicted model, not a curated record